UCCAAGUGGCAGUUCCCGAUUGGUUGGCGUU
This 31-nucleotide non-coding RNA is filed under the name Mus musculus (house mouse). Lineage: Eukaryota; Metazoa; Chordata; Mammalia; Rodentia; Muridae. The record is from RNAcentral.